GGGGCAGCAUGGUCUUAGCUUGCUAAGGCCGAUGGCGACCGGCGCACGGGUGAGUAACACGUAUCCAACCUGCCGUCUACUCUUGGACAGCCUUCUGAAAGGAAGAUUAAUACAAGAUGGCAUCAUGAGUCCGCAUGUUCACAUGAUUAAAGGUAUUCCGGUAGACGAUGGGGAUGCGUUCCAUUAGAUAGUAGGCGGGGUAACGGCCCACCUAGUCUUCGAUGGAUAGGGGUUCUGAGAGGAAGGUCCCCCACAUUGGAACUGAGACACGGUCCAAACUCCUACGGGAGGCAGCAGUGAGGAAUAUUGGUCAAUGGGCGAGAGCCUGAACCAGCCAAGUAGCGUGAAGGAUGACUGCCCUAUGGGUUGUAAACUUCUUUUAUAAAGGAAUAAAGUCGGGUAUGGAUACCCGUUUGCAUGUACUUUAUGAAUAAGGAUCGGCUAACUCCGUGCCAGCAGCCGCGGUAAUACGGAGGAUCCGAGCGUUAUCCGGAUUUAUUGGGUUUAAAGGGAGCGUAGAUGGAUGUUUAAGUCAGUUGUGAAAGUUUGCGGCUCAACCGUAAAAUUGCAGUUGAUACUGGAUAUCUUGAGUGCAGUUGAGGCAGGCGGAAUUCGUGGUGUAGCGGUGAAAUGCUUAGAUAUCACGAAGAACUCCGAUUGCGAAGGCAGCCUGC
This 674-nucleotide ribosomal RNA is filed under the name uncultured Bacteroidales bacterium. Its description in RNAcentral is "bacterial SSU rRNA". It matches the Rfam family "Bacterial small subunit ribosomal RNA", at positions 66 to 729 of the family's 1533-position model. The record is from RNAcentral. Lineage: Bacteria; Pseudomonadati; Bacteroidota; Bacteroidia; Bacteroidales.